Cynara cardunculus var. scolymus (artichoke) is the source of this 2492-nucleotide RNA transcript. It is a transcript of the gene named exocyst complex component EXO70B1-like, with no coding region annotated. NCBI's taxonomy places the organism in Eukaryota, Viridiplantae, Streptophyta, Magnoliopsida, Asterales, Asteraceae. The record is from RefSeq and is a predicted model, not a curated record. The transcript is spliced from 3 exons.
UCUCUCUCCGGUCUUCUUCUUCAUCGCCUUCAAACCCUCGAUGUCCUUUUAUAUUAUUUCUUUCACAGAAUCCGCGUCUUCCAUGAACUUUCCCGUGAUCUCAUCUCAUCUCUCUUCAAUUCAUCAACCACAAAAACCCAUCUCAAUCUUCCAAUUUCAUUCAUCACUCAGAAACCCUACUACAUUUUGAUUCAAUCAUGGCUGAAAAUGGCGAAGAAAAGCUCAUUGCUGUCGCCCGUCACAUAGCUAAAACCCUCGGCCACACCGACAAUGCAAUGGCCGAUGAUAUACUUCAAAUCUUCUCUAACUUUGAUGGCAGGUUACGUGAGAAGCUCACUGAAAACUUAAGUGAUGGUGAUGAUUCACGAAACGGUGUAGCUGUGCUUGAUCAAACCCUAAGAUCUCUUGAUCGUCAGAUCUCUAGGUACGUCACUGUUAAUCACCCAAUCUGGUCUGAUUCCGCCGAUGCUUCCACUUUCCUUGAUGCUGUUGAUGAACUUGUUGCCGCGAUCCGCGAGUGGACUCCCAUGGCUGCUGAUAAAUCCGUCACGGCUUGUCUCGAUCGAGCCGAGGAUUUGCUCCAGCAGUGUAUGUUUCGGCUUGAGGAGGAGUUUAAGCUGCUAAUGGAACGCGGCGGCGCUGAGCCUUUCGAUAACGCUGUGAGAGAUGGAGGAGCUUACUUAGAUUCCGAUGAUGAAGAAGACAAUGAUGGAUAUGAUGAUGUAGAGAUUCCGAUGGCGCAUCCGGUGUCGGAUUACAACAUCAUAAUUGACGCGCUUCCGUCCGGAACCAUCAACGAUCUACACGAGAUCUCCAAGAGAAUGGUAAGUGCGGGAUAUGGAAAGGAGUGUUCGCUCGCGUACAGCUCUUGCCGCAGGGAUUUCUUAGAAGAAAGCCUCUCGAGAUUAGGUUUUUCAGGGUUACAGAAAUCAAAUGCGGCUCUGGAAGAUGAUGAUAACGAAGUCGAAAUCGACAAGUGGAUCAAAGCAGUCAACAUGGCUGUUCGAGUCUUUUACCCCAGUGAACGCCGCCUCUGCGACCGUGUUUUUGGGUACUCCUCCGCCACCGCUGCUGUGGCAGAUCUUUCAUUCAUGGAGGCCUGUAGAGUGUCCUCCAAGGAGCUGCUCAAUUUUGCUAAUGGAAUCGCAAUGGGUAGCAGAGCACCAGAUAGAUUGUUCAAGAUUCUUGACGUUUUUGAAGCCGUGAAGGAUUUGUUGCCCGAAAUCGAGGUACUGUUUGCUGAUCAAUAUUGUCUGUUCCUUAGAAAUGAAGCCAUGGGAGUUUGGAAGAGAUUAGGGGAAUCAAUUAGAGGAAUAUUUAUGGAAUUAGAGAAUUUAAUCCGCCGUGAUCCAGCAAAAGCUGCUGUUCCUGGUGGCGGUCUUCAUCCCAUAACCCGUUACGUGAUGAAUUACCUCCGAGCUGCAUGUUCUAGACCAACCCUAGAACAAGUUUUUGAUGAAAAUGUGGUACCUCCUGUGGGUAUCGAUAGAUCAUUAUCACCUUCUUCUCCAUUAGCAGUACAGAUGGCUUGGAUCAUGGAAGUUUUGGAGAGUAAUCUAGAGGCUAAAUCCAAGAUUUACAGGGACCCUGCUUUAUCCUCUGUUUUCAUGAUGAACAAUGGAAGGUAUAUUGUUAAAAAGGUUAAAGAUGAUGAAUUGGGUUCACUUUUAGGAGAUGAUUGGGUCCGGAAGCACACAGCAAAAGUCCGGCAAUAUCAUGUGAAUUACCAAAGAAGUUCGUGGAAUAAGAUACUGAAUGCCUUAAAAUUGGACAACAAUAGCUUAUCUCCUAAUGUUGCUUCCAAGGCCUUCAAAGAGAAGCUUAAGCUAUUUAAUUCUCAAUUUGAGGAGAUUUGUAGAACUCAAUCGACAUGGGCUAUAUUUGAUGAGCAGUUAAAAGAGGAAUUGAAGCUUUCUGUGGGUGCAAAUUUGCUCCCUGCUUAUAGAAAUUUUCUUGGCAGGUUUCAUAAUAUUCAAGAUAUUGGGAAAUAUGCAGAGAAACAUGUUAAGUUCAAUGUUGAAGAUGUUGAGGCUCGAAUCGAUGGCUUGUUUCAAGGAACUGCUGUAUCAGGAAGUGGUCGGAAAUGAAAAGCCAGCAAGUCACUGAUCAUCUGAAGCAAGUUGCGAUGGGGACUAAUAUUAAAGUUGUUCCAAUUCAACAGAAAAGCCUUCUAAGGGCAAAGCGUGAGAUUGUUGUUGGAACUCCAGGGAACUAAAAGAUUUAUGCUUUUCAAGUAUUCUUGGAUUGUUUUAAGCAAGUGCGAUUAUGAUUAUGAUUAUGAUGGUGGUGUUGCUCAAAUAUUCUGUUUGAGGAGUCUGGUCUUGCCGACUUAAACGUUAACUGCAGUUUUAAUAUUCUGUUUUCCUGCUUUAUGAUGCUUAAAUAGAAUAAUGUUAAACUUGAAACUAUAUUUAGGUUUGAAAUAUUCAAUUUGCUGAUCAAAUGUUUGAUGGAUUAUUGACUUGUUGUAUAUAAAGAGGGAAAUUGACAUC